CGCCUGUUUACCAAAAACAUAGCCUUCAGCAAACAACAAGUAUUGAAGGUGAUGCCUGCCCAGUGACUACAACGUUCAACGGCCGCGGUAUCCUAACCGUGCGAAGGUAGCGCAAUCAAUUGUCUCAUAAAUCGAGACUUGUAUGAAUGGCUAAACGAGGUCUUAACUGUCUCCUACAGAUGAUCAGUGAAAUUAGUAUUCCCGUGCAAAAACGAGAAUGGGACCAUAAGACGAGAAGACCCUGUGGAACUUCAAAAUCACGACCACCUUGACACCAACCCAAAUCCACCGGACCCACCCACACAAAACACCUGGUCGACAUUUUUCGGUUGGGGCGACCUUGGAGAAAAAUAAAUCCUCCAAACCACAGACCACAACUCUUCACCGAGACCAACCCCUCUAAGUACUAACAGUAACCAGACCCAAUAUAAUUGAUCAAUGGACUAAGCUACCCCAGGGAUAACAGCGCAAUCUCCUCCAAGAGCCCAUAUCGACAGGAGGUUUACGACCUCGAUGUUGGAUCGGGACAACCUAAUGGUGCAGCCGCUAUUAAGGGUUCGUUUGUUCAACGAUUAACAGUCCUACGUGAUCUGAGUUCAGACCGG
This 605-nucleotide ribosomal RNA is filed under the name Numida meleagris (helmeted guineafowl). RNAcentral's name for it is "partial 16S ribosomal RNA". It matches the Rfam family "Bacterial large subunit ribosomal RNA", at positions 1797 to 2619 of the family's 2925-position model. The record is from RNAcentral. Lineage: Eukaryota; Metazoa; Chordata; Aves; Galliformes; Numididae.